RNAcentral lists this ribosomal RNA (417 nucleotides) under Triticum aestivum (bread wheat). RNAcentral describes it as "partial small subunit ribosomal RNA". The record is from RNAcentral. Lineage: Eukaryota; Viridiplantae; Streptophyta; Magnoliopsida; Poales; Poaceae.
AUGGUGUUACAAACAUUUUUUGCUGCAAGUGGAUUCCAUGACAGUGAUGAAGCAACUGACCGUAUGCCAAAUGCCACUUUAUAUGACAACUAUUGCAGGAAAGUUUUGACCAGGAUGUGUGAAACAAGUAAUGAAGUCCAGGCGGUAUGCCUUUGGCGUGAUGAAGGAGGCAGGGACGAACCUUGGAGAUUGCUGUCGAGCGUUGCUCGCCGCGCGCUGCAGCAUCCUCCGCGGCGCUUGUUCAGCUGCCGGCAGGACAAGAUCAAAGUGCAGGACUCAAUUGAAAGGCCAACAAUGUGCACACAUUGGCUACAUUUGCUGUGGGCUGUAUGCCAUUUUCGGAAGAAGGCGGCGUGGCGCGGCAAUGGCGGAGAGGGGGAAGAAGAACAGAGACGGAGAGCAGGAAUGCGAUGCUAG